GAUGAACGCUGGCGGCGUGCCUAAUACAUGCAAGUCGAGCGAACGGACGAGAAGCUUGCUUCUCUGAUGUUAGCGGCGGACGGGUGAGUAACACGUGGAUAACCUACCUAUAAGACUGGGAUAACUUCGGGAAACCGGAGCUAAUACCGGAUGAUAUUUUGAACCGCAUGGUUCAAAAGUGAAAGACGGUCUUGCUGUCUCUUAUAGAUGGAUCCGCGCUGCAUUAGCUAGUUGGUAAGGUAACGGCUUACCAAGGCAACGAUGCAUAGCCGACCUGAGAGGGUGAUCGGCCACUCUGGAACUGAGACACGGUCCAGACUCCUACGGGAGGCAGCAGUAGGGAAUCUUCCGCAAUGGGCGAAAGCCUGACGGAGCAACGCCGCGUGAGUGAUGAAGGUCUUCGGAUCGUAAAACUCUGUUAUUAGGGAAGAACAUAUGUGUAAGUAACUGUGCACAUCUUGACGGUACCUAAUCAGAAAGCCACGGCUAACUACGUG
Molecule: ribosomal RNA, 497 nt
Filed under: uncultured bacterium
Lineage: Bacteria
Description: partial 16S ribosomal RNA
Rfam family: Bacterial small subunit ribosomal RNA
Source: RNAcentral